CUCCUUCUCUGUGUUCUUGGUGUCUAAUAUUCCAGGAGUGUCGACCACUGUGAUCUGUUUCCUGAACACAUUUUCUGUUUGUUCAGAGAUCUCUGUCGUCACUGUUUUAUGAGACGGCUUCGACUCAAACGCUGGUCGUCCCAGGAUGGUGUUUCCUGAAGCACUUUUACCAACUCCGGUAUUUCCCAGAAGGACG
This is a long non-coding RNA of Sander lucioperca (pikeperch), 196 nucleotides long. RefSeq lists it as uncharacterized. The transcript has 3 exons. NCBI's taxonomy places the organism in Eukaryota, Metazoa, Chordata, Actinopteri, Perciformes, Percidae. The record is from RefSeq and is a predicted model, not a curated record.